GACGAACGCUGGCGGCGUGCUUAACACAUGCAAGUCGAACGGAAAGGCCCUUCGGGGUACUCGAGUGGCGAACGGGUGAGUAACACGUGGGUGAUCUGCCCUGCACUUUGGGAUAAGCCUGGGAAACUGGGUCUAAUACCGAAUAGGACCACGCGCUUCAUGGUGUGUGGUGGAAAGCUUUUGCGGUGUGGGAUGGGCCCGCGGCCUAUCAGCUUGUUGGUGGGGUAAUGGCCUACCAAGGCGACGACGGGUAGCCGGCCUGAGAGGGUGACCGGCCACACUGGGACUGAGAUACGGCCCAGACUCCUACGGUAGGCAGCAGUGGGGAAUAUUGCACAAUGGGCGCAAGCCUGAUGCAGCGACGCCGCGUGCGGGAUAACGGCCUUCGGGUUGUAAACCUCUUUCAAUAUGGCCGAAGCGCAAGUGACGGUACCUAUAGAAGAAGCACCGGCCAACUACGUG
Molecule: ribosomal RNA, 462 nt
Filed under: uncultured bacterium
Lineage: Bacteria
Description: partial 16S ribosomal RNA
Rfam family: Bacterial small subunit ribosomal RNA
Source: RNAcentral